Pezoporus occidentalis (night parrot) is the source of this 4425-nucleotide RNA transcript. It is a transcript of the gene named Y+L amino acid transporter 2-like, with no coding region annotated. NCBI's taxonomy places the organism in Eukaryota, Metazoa, Chordata, Aves, Psittaciformes, Psittacidae. The transcript is spliced from 11 exons. The record is from RefSeq and is a predicted model, not a curated record.
AGAAUGAAGGUAGUUAUACUUCCUUGAAAAUAUGCAUUCUAGUUUUUAGAAUAUAGUUUCUUAACACUGCCCUGACCAAAGAAAAAGAUUUAAAAAUGACAGAGAUCCUGAUUAAGGAACAUUGUUCUCAGCCUCUCUGUUCUUCCAGCAGAGACCAGCAGCCCUGCAAAACAAUUCUGUUGCCAAAAUGUUCUUGAUAUAUUAUAAAGUACGUAACCACAGACUUGCAGGCAGCUGGAAUUAUGCAAUCUUUUCAGGCAGACUUAAAGAGCUCUCAGGAAUAAAUAACCAUCCUUCAUAGAUAAAACUAAAGCAAUUUAGAAGCUAUUUAUUCAAAAUACUUGUUGUACCUGUCUUUGAAUAGUGUUUUGAAAAAGGGCAGCCAUUUCUGUGUAAACAUUAACUGUGGACCUGUCUCAUUCUAGAAGGAAAGUGUGUUUUUACAAGAUGUUACUUUAAAAGGAAGAAAUAGGAGGAGCACUGACUUUCAGUAGAAAGACUUGGGCUGUUUCUAUUAUUCAUUUGGGUCAUUGAGGGUUACAGUAUGGAACGCGCAAUAUGAUGCAACUUUCCUGCUUGUUUUCAAGUUGGAUUACUGAGGCUAACUGGAGGGAUAUUUGUGCUUGAAUUUAAUUGUUUCACUUUCCUACAUGGAUUAGUCGCCCAUUCUGAUGAAGUCCUGUUAUCUGGUGCCUCUACUCAGUCCCGUGACUUAAGACUUGACUUGCUGGAUCAGCUCCUUCCAGAUGCUCUUUGACACAUAAGUACAAAUUUUUGCCCUACUAUUUAGACUUGUCGUUCAUGGAAGAGGAAAAUCCCAGGUUAGUGCUCUUGAAUUCAUUAACUUUUUGCUCUGCCGAGAAAGCCUUAUUUUCUGGAUGUUUACUUGUUUUGGAAAUACUGUGCUGUAUACCGUACUGGCUUUCCAAAAGUACUUCAUAGUAAGGGCACCACAUUGUUUCAGAAGACAAAGCUGAUUACGCUGGGUAUGUAAUGAUAAUUGAGGAUGCCAGCCCCUUGGCAAAUGUGCUGCAAUAAGAAAUCCAAAACUAAGCAUGGAAGAGCUGAAAUGGACAGCAUGGAAGAGACAAGUGAAAAAAUGCAGAUGAAAAAAGAAAUCACAUUGCUAAAUGGAGUCUCUUUAAUUGUAGGGAACAUGAUUGGCUCUGGGAUAUUUGUGUCACCCAGAGGUGUUCUAAUGUACAGUGCUUCCUAUGGACUCUCUCUAGUCAUCUGGGCGCUUGGUGGGAUAUUUUCACUAUUCGGAGCUUUGUGUUAUGCUGAAUUGGGAACAUCCAUCGUUAAAUCUGGAGCCAGUUAUGCCUAUAUUUUGGAAGCAUUUGGUGGCUUUGUGGCCUUCAUCAGACUCUGGUCUUCCUUGCUAAUUAUUGAACCAACAACUCAGGCAGUGAUAGCAAUCACGUUUGCCAACUAUAUUGUUCAACCAAUUUUUCCUCAUUGUGAGCCACCAUAUGAUGCAGUCAGGUUGAUUGCAGCUGCUUGUAUAUGUUCCUUAACAUUUAUUAAUUGUGUCAAUGUAAAGUGGGGAACCCGUGUACAAGAUGUUUUCACUUACGCAAAAGUUAUGGCCCUUUUCUUGGUGAUAUCUGUUGGCCUUUACAAAAUUGGUAAAGGAGAAACAGAAAACCUGAGAGCCCCAUUCGAGGGCUCGGCAACAAACCCAGGGAUGAUUGCUCUGGCUCUCCACUCUGCCCUCUUCUCCUACUCAGGAUGGGACACACUCAACUACGUCACUGAGGAAAUGCAGAAUCCUGAGAGGAAUCUACCUCUUUCUAUUGCAAUUUCAAUGCCUAUUGUGACUGUUAUUUAUUUGUUGACUAACAUAGCAUACUACAUAGUGUUGGACAUGUCAGCUCUCCUCACAAGUGAUGCAGUGGCUGUGACAUUUGGUGGUGAAACCCUUAGUUAUGCUAAGUGGAUAAUUCCUAUAGCAGUGGCCAUGUCUUGCUAUAGUGGCUUAAACUCAUCAAUAAUUGCAGCAUCUAGGCUAUUUUAUGUUGGGGCCAGAGAAGGACACCUCCCUGACAGUCUGAGCUUGAUUCACGUAAAGUGCUUCACACCAGUCCCUGCUCUCCUCUUCAAUGGCUUAAUGACUUUGAUUUAUCUCCUUGUGGAAGAUGUUUUCCUCCUCAUUAAUUACUACUGCUUCAACUACUGGCUUUUUGUGGGUCUGUCUAUUGCAGGACUAAUAUAUUUGAGAUACACUCAGCCACAUCGAACCCGGCCUAUCAAACUUAGCCUCUUUUUCCCCAUAGUAUACUGUUUAUGUUCCCUUUUCCUGGUCAUAGUUCCUCUCUACAGUGACACAAUCAGUUCCCUUAUUGGCAUUGGUAUUGCCCUCUCAGGCGUUCCUGCAUAUUAUUUAGGAGUCUAUCUGCCAGUUGAAAAACGACCUAAAUGUCUACAGUGGCUCUCUGGAUUUAUUUUUGACUCAUGAGGACUGGCAGCAAAGCAACUAUGUGAAGUGCUACAAGUUUACAACGGCUCAAAAGCUCUAAAGUCAUUUAUUUAUUUAUUUAUUGCCAAGGGCAAAUGAGGAAAAUAAAAUGCAAGCCUAAAGAAGAUGCUGCACAGUAAAGGCAGAAGAACUUCUUUGUACAUCAGGAGCCUGGGUUAUAAGCACAAGGAAUUAGAAACACUUCUUUGGGAACACACAUUUAAUGUAAUUGAUGUCACUGAAAAACAUGAAAGAAGAGUAGGCUACUGAAAUGUCUGGUUGUUAACUACCUAGAAAGGUCCAUAUUAGAGGCAAAGGAAGGGAGAGGAAUCUGGUUUACAUCACCAUGGUUUUAAAACAGGAGGAGUCAACAUUAAAGCAAAUGUUCAUAAGUCAAGCCUCUUCGAACAGAAAGAAUAAAUGAGAAUUAACCAGUUGAUGCAAUAAAAAACACAGUAAAAAUUAGUAGGUGUUUAAAGAGCUGAUCACCAAAAAUGUGCUGCCUGGCAAGUGAUGGAACUGAAUACAUUUCAGCAUACAAAUAGAACAAAGAUUAAUUCAGCAAUAUAUUUACAUAGUGCUCAGAAAUGUCCAUUUUACAGAGCCAAACCAACCGUGAGCCACACCUGGUGGAGGGAGAACAAAGAGAGUUUAAACUGGAAAUAAACUUCCUUGGGGCUGUGUAAGAACCUACAUGCAGAAACCAGAAAAAAAAGAAAGGAACAUGCAACUGCUUUAAAACUGUAAUAAAGCCUUCCUCUUUAGAGAGGAAAUGCAAAGAGGCAGUGAAAUAGAAGAAAGACAAUUUUAAUGGUAAUGACCAGAAUUUCAAGGACAAGCUGCUGAACACAACAUCUGACCCCUUUAGAUGUGCUUCUACAAUACCACAAAAGAACUUCAGAAGCUGGUGGCAACAACAUAGUGCCCAGGUGAAAAUACGCUCAUUAUGGUGAUGUUACCUUAUUUCUGAUUAGCCAUUGCUUUUUCCCAUACCACGCCACCACAUAAGGACACCUGCAAAUUAAAGUACCUUUCACUUGCUAUUUUAGGAGAAAUGUCUUGUCUGUUUCAGCGAGUGUGCAGUCAUUGAAACAGAAUUCAGUUUUCAGUGGAAUUACAUUUGACACCACGAGAGGGAGAACGCCUUUGCUUGAUGCUCUCAGGAAGGAAAGGCAGACAGCAGUUUUGUGACCUGCUCAGAACAGAAUCAGACCGGUAUGUGUGUUCUUGCCCAUACCAAAAGUCCUAAGAAGGACAGGCUUAGGUCCAGCAAAGAGUGGCAGCUGCAUGUUCUGAAUAAUGCUUUAAAACAGCCUGCUGCAAAUUCAAAUGAAGAUGAAGUCACAGUUCAAACAUUCCUCUUUCUUUACAGGAUUGCCCUCGUAUCUGGAGCAGAAAACAAGAGUUUAUCAUCCUGGCUGUUUCCAGUAUGUAACAGCAUAUAUGAGUACCUAAGUCAAAGGGAUUAUGAACAUCCUUUUCAGAACUUCCACAUUAAGCAUGAAUAAUAAGCUAAUAAUAUCUAAUAGAUAAUAAAUUAGUUAUUGUAUGGAAAUGAAAAAAAAAAAAGGAGUUCCCCACCCUCAUAUUUCCCAUUUUUCUUCUUUAUUUUUUCUCUCAGAUAAAACUUAUGAAAUCGACACUUCCCUCUGAUAUUUGGUAGUGAAGAGCUACUUAUAAAGACACCCUUUGGAAAAUACAGUGCUUAGGUCAAAUCAGUUGCCUGUUGACCUCCUGCUCAGUAUGACGUAAAAUUUGGCUGUACAACAAACUUUCAGAGACCACUGGACCACCACCUGAGUCUGACCAGCCUUAGAUGUUGCUGUAAACCUCCUCUUUUGGUGGGUCCCACGAGCAGCAAAGAAUGAGGAAAUAAAACCUCUCUAGAUUAAAAAGAAUAAAGAUUUUUAUUCUGUUCAGCAAACAGCAAUUAUUUUCUUUCACAAUAAAAUGCUGAAAAAAGAAAA